Molecule: ribosomal RNA, 497 nt
Filed under: uncultured bacterium
Lineage: Bacteria
Description: partial 16S ribosomal RNA
Rfam family: Bacterial small subunit ribosomal RNA
Source: RNAcentral
GAUGAACGCUGGCGGCGUGCCUAAUACAUGCAAGUCGAGCGAACGGACGAGAAGCUUGCUUCUCUGAUGUUAGCGGCGGACGGGUGAGUAACACGUGGAUAACCUACCUAUAAGACUGGGAUAACUUCGGGAAACCGUAGCUAAUACCGGAUAAUAUUUUGAACCGCAUGGCUCAAAAGUGAAAGACGCUCUUGCUGUCACUUAUAGAUGGAUCCGCGCUGCAUUAGCUAGUUGGUAAGGUAACGGCUUACCAAGGCAACGAUGCAUAGCCGACCUGAGAGGGUGAUCGGCCACACUGGAACUGAGACACGGUCCAGACUCCUACGGGAGGCAGCAGUAGGGAAUCUUCCGCAAUGGGCGAAAGCCUGACGGAGCAACGCCGCGUGAGUGAUGAAGGUCUUCGGAUCGUAAAACUCUGUUAUUAGGGAAGAACAUAUGUGUAAGUAACUGUGCACAUCUUGACGGUACCUAAUCAGAAAGCCACGGCUAACUACGUG